Long non-coding RNA from Bos taurus (domestic cattle), 445 nucleotides. The record is from Ensembl. Lineage: Eukaryota; Metazoa; Chordata; Mammalia; Artiodactyla; Bovidae.
CCCAUGCUGAUGUCCAUGAACUUGGAGGGGAUCUUCCCGACCCAGGAAUCGAAGCCAGGUCUCCUGCACUGCAGGCAGGCACUUUACCGUCUGAGCCACCAGGGAAGCCCAGCUUUGGAAGGUGCUCAGUAAAUAUUGGUGACAGUGAUCACUGAUACUACAGAAGAUGUUCUUCGACCCUCCAAACACUUGGCCCUAGAUUCUCACAGCAGACAAUGCUGUCAAGGAAAAGCCCAGCCUUGUACCAAGUUAUCAAUAUCAGCCGCGACCGGGUGAGGGGAGCCAUCCGUCCUCACAGAGACAUUAGCACGUCUUGAAUCGCCCCUGGAGCCUCUAUUUGAAAGGUGCAUCCAUCUGCAUGCAGCACCGAUGACACUGGCCUUGAUGUGAACAGCAGAGAACUUCAUUUUGCUCGUUCCUGUUAAGACGUGGGCGUCACUUUGUC